AUUGAACGCUGGCGGCAGGCCUAACACAUGCAAGUCGAGCGGAUGAAGGGAGCUUGCUCCCGGAUUCAGCGGCGGACGGGUGAGUAAUGCCUAGGAAUCUGCCUGGUAGUGGGGGAUAACGUCCGGAAACGGGCGCUAAUACCGCAUACGUCCUGAGGGAGAAAGUGGGGGAUCUUCGGACCUCACGCUAUCAGAUGAGCCUAGGUCGGAUUAGCUAGUUGGUGGGGUAAAGGCCUACCAAGGCGACGAUCCGUAACUGGUCUGAGAGGAUGAUCAGUCACUCUGGAACUGAGACACGGUCCAGACUCCUACGGGAGGCAGCAGUGGGGAAUAUUGGACAAUGGGCGAAAGCCUGAUCCAGCCAUGCCGCGUGUGUGAAGAAGGUCUUCGGAUUGUAAAGCACUUUAAGUUGGGAGGAAGGGCAGUAAGUUAAUACCUUGCUGUUUUGACGUUACCAACAGAAUAAGCACCGGCUAACUUCGUG
Molecule: ribosomal RNA, 484 nt
Filed under: uncultured bacterium
Lineage: Bacteria
Description: partial 16S ribosomal RNA
Rfam family: Bacterial small subunit ribosomal RNA
Source: RNAcentral